UAUUUCAACAGCAGUAGAGCCGUUUUUGACUCAAUCAUGUGCUAUGUUUUAUUUGCAAUUUCAAAUAAUUUAUUGCAGAUCCAGAAUACCUGUAACCAUAUUUCCGUAUUUGUAACUGUGUUUCUUUUCACAUAUCUAAGAGUACACUUCACAUCCUAGAACCCAUAAAAUGUAUGAUGCUACCUUAAAUGUUUAAUAGUUUUAUUAUAUUUAUUAAUAAUAUUUAAAAUAAACAGCGCUUAUUGACUUCAAUGACUUCUUUAUUGACACUUAGAAAAGAUUUGACAGAACUACAUACCCAUCUGAGGCCUACCUGUUUUAAUUCAUGAUCCCCCCGGAUACUUCUACAACUAACCUGCUUGGUGUCUGAUGCUGAUGCAGUCUGGGCACUAGUAUCUGUUGGCUUGCUGACUAUCACUGACGAUGAAGUACUUCUCCAAAUCUUGACCCAGUGUCUUCUGCCAUCAUUGUUCAGGGUAGUACUGCAAAGAAUAGUCUCCAGGGUCUGCCUCCAACAUUUGCUUCCCGACCACCAUGUGCUACGCUUGCAUCACUACAUGUGGGUUACCCUGAUACUGUGAAGAAAACCUACAAUAUGAUGCUUGACUUGGGACAGAAAAAAAAAACAUUGGCAACUUGUGUGGCCAACUCAUUGCCGUAUUUAAAAUCAUUGUACUGCUACCUCCAUUGUUUAACAUAACUAAAAGCAGAUUGUUUUUGCUUUGUUUCAAAAUUUUUGUAAUACGAGUUAAAACUACAUUGAAAAAAAUAUAUCAUCUUUAACUUUGAACUGUCACUACAUUUGAUUUAGGGUAAUUAUGUGUGUGAAGAAUAGAACAUUGUUGUCAUGAAUUUGUAAUAGAUUUUUGAAGUAUUUAAGUUACUAGAGUAAUGGUAACUUUUUUUUUUAAAGGCAAUUGGUCAAAACUAGAUUUCUGUUCAAGUAAAUACAACUUAGAAAUUCCAAGUUGCAGGAAAUGUUACUUGAUUUAGCUAAAUUUAAAUGAGUUGUUUGAAAUACGUACAUAGUAUAAUGUACUUAAUUUAGUUGUUGGAAAUAGUAAUUCUGAGUUACACGUUUACAACACUUAUAAAUAAACCUUUGUUAGUACAAAUUACUAUUCUUAUUUCACUUUACUUGUUUUUUUUUAAGGUUUACUCAUUAUAAUUUACAGUGCAGACAAGCACAUGCCCAGUGCACACUAGUGAGAUAAAUUCAAAACACUGUAAUUGUAAUAAAGUACUGUAACUAUACUGUA
Molecule: long non-coding RNA, 1259 nt
Organism: Carassius gibelio (silver crucian carp)
Lineage: Eukaryota; Metazoa; Chordata; Actinopteri; Cypriniformes; Cyprinidae
Exons: 2
Source: RefSeq, a predicted model, not a curated record